AGUAAUGUAGUUUAAUUAAAAACGAUGAGUUGUCAAUUCAUAAAUGCUUUAGUAGAGUUGUUGCUU
Molecule: transfer RNA, 66 nt
Filed under: Geukensia demissa (ribbed mussel)
Lineage: Eukaryota; Metazoa; Mollusca; Bivalvia; Mytilida; Mytilidae
Description: tRNA-Asp
Source: RNAcentral